Molecule: long non-coding RNA, 376 nt
Filed under: Homo sapiens (human)
Lineage: Eukaryota; Metazoa; Chordata; Mammalia; Primates; Hominidae
Description: HSALNT0369173
Source: RNAcentral
AGGACAGGCUCAAGACAGUUUAGGUAACUUGAGGGAAGCAGAGAGAGUGAGUUAAUUUUUAGUAUGGCUAAGAGGUGGGAAUGGGAAGAUUUCAUGCCUGUGCAAAUGGGUCUGAGCUUCAGUGAUAUGAAUGUUCUGCUAGUACCAUGGAAGCAGGAUGGUAGAAAGCAAUCUUCAGCCUGAGACCCAUUCCUAGGUAAGUAGCUGAAUUGAGUUUUUUUUCUUGGUUAAAGUAUAACAAUCAACUGGUCUUAAUUUCUCCUUACCAUUAGAGCACUCAGUGAUCAUAUGGCUGGGUUUUUGUUAUUGUUUUUGUUGUUUGUUCCAGUCUUUUCCCCAUCAGAUUUGACCAACUCUACCUGACUUGGUCAAAUCU